This 442-nucleotide ribosomal RNA is filed under the name uncultured bacterium. Its description in RNAcentral is "partial 16S ribosomal RNA". It matches the Rfam family "Bacterial small subunit ribosomal RNA", at positions 338 to 795 of the family's 1533-position model. The record is from RNAcentral.
CCUACGGGAGGCAGCAGUGGGGGAUAUUGGGCAAUGGGCGCAAGCCUGACCCAGCAACGCCGCGUGAAGGAAGAAGGAUUUCGGGAUGUAAACUUCUUUUAACAGGGAAGAGCAGGAGGCGGUACCUCUUGAAUAAGCCACGGCUAACUACGUGCCAGCAGCCGCGGUAAUACGUAGGUGGCAAGCGUUGUCCGGAUUUACUGGGUGUAAAGGGCGUGUAGCCGGGCUGACAAGUCAGAUGUGAAAUUCCGGGGCUCAACCCCGGACCUGCAUUUGAAACUGUUGGUCUUGAGUAUCGGAGAGGCAGGCGGAAUUCCUAGUGUAGCGGUGAAAUGCGUAGAUAUUAGGAGGAACACCAGUGGCGAAGGCGGCCUGCUGGACGACAACUGACGGUGAGGCGCGAAAGCGUGGGGAGCAAACAGGAUUAGAUACCCGAGUAGUC